Molecule: long non-coding RNA, 894 nt
Organism: Labrus mixtus (cuckoo wrasse)
Lineage: Eukaryota; Metazoa; Chordata; Actinopteri; Labriformes; Labridae
Exons: 4
Source: RefSeq, a predicted model, not a curated record
AAUUUUUCUGUUCAGUUUUUUGAACAAAAUGAGUCGGCAAAAUGAGUUGUUCUGCAGUAAACUGUUCUAACCGACCUGUGGGAGCUAAGGGAUCUUUGCAGUUUUUUCGGUGACCAUGAUGCAGCCAGACUGAAGCAGCAGGUUGUGAAGGUGGACACCAUCAUCUUGUCUUUGCAGUGCUGAUUCUGAAGAGACGUCUUCACAUAGGACUCAAAGGAAAUCAAUGCCCAAAGGAAACAACAGUCCAGACUCUGAUUCCAGCUCCGAAGAUGCCUUCAGAUUCAGAUCCAUCAGCAACCCCUGACAACAUGGAGGACUUGUCUCCUGAGCGUUUCCUGUCCUCUCUCGAUGGAGUUCUUCUCUUCAGUUAUUAACUCUUGAAAACAGUAGCACAACAUGCCAGACUGUUUGACAAGUCUGUGAUUGAAUAAAUUGAAAUGGAAUCUCAUGCGUAUCUUGCUAUGUUUAUUGGCUUUAAAUGUUUAAUAUUAAAUAAGUUUGAAGGCCAUUUAUCUCAGACGAGACUGGCUGUGACAAGCUGAGCUCGUCUGUUAGCUUUGCUGUUGUCUUAGCUGUUGUUGGUCAAGAAGAAAUUAAUGUCAGUUCGAGGCCUUUUCAAUUGUGAGCUAUAAACUUAACUGCUAAAUUAUUUUACUGUGACCAACACUUUGUCGUGCUCCAGUUAAUCAGAGACAGUCAUGUGAGUUUUUAAAAAAGUUUAUUUAAACAUUUUAUGAAAAAAAGAAAUUCAAUAAACAACCCCUGGCUUCAUUAACCAUGUGGAAAAUAAGUAAGGGAGACCAUCAGGUCCAAUUGCUGGGACAUAGGAGAAAGUAUAAAAAAUAAUUUAACAAAGAAAUCCCAACAAAAAUCAAAUAAAGUAUAAAGAUCCUG